Molecule: ribosomal RNA, 428 nt
Filed under: uncultured bacterium
Lineage: Bacteria
Description: bacterial SSU rRNA
Rfam family: Bacterial small subunit ribosomal RNA
Source: RNAcentral
UGGGGAAUAUUGCGCAAUGGGCGAAAGCCUGACGCAGCGACGCCGCGUGAGGGAUGAAGGUUUUCGGAUCGUAAACCUCUGUCAGAAGGGAAGAAACUACAUUGUGCUAAUCAGCAGUGUACUGACGGUACCUUCAAAGGAAGCACCGGCUAACUCCGUGCCAGCAGCCGCGGUAAUACGGAGGGUGCAAGCGUUAAUCGGAAUUACUGGGCGUAGAGCGCACGUAGGCUGUAGUGUAAGUCAGGGGUGAAAUCCCACGGCUCAACCGUGGAACUGCCUUUGAUACUGCACAACUUGAAUCCGGGAGAGGGUGGCGGAAUUCCAGGUGUAGGAGUGAAAUCCGUAGAUAUCUGGAGGAACAUCAGUGGCGAAGGCGGCCACCUGGACCGGUAUUGACGCUGAGGUGCGAAAGCGUGGGGAGCAAACAG